UACGUAGGUGGCGAGCGUUAUCCGGAUUUACUGGGUGUAAAGGGAGCGCAGGUGGCAUGGCAAGCCAGAAGUGAAAACCCGGGGCUUAACCCCGCGGAUUGCUUUUGGAACUGUCAGGCUGGAGUGCAGGAGGGGCAGGCGGAAUUCCUGGUGUAGCGGUGAAAUGCGUAGAUAUCAGGAGGAACACCGGUGGCGAAGGCGGCCUGCUGGACUGUAACUGACACUGAGGCUCGAAAGCGUGGGGAGCAAACAGG
This 254-nucleotide ribosomal RNA is filed under the name uncultured bacterium. Its description in RNAcentral is "partial 16S ribosomal RNA". It matches the Rfam family "Bacterial small subunit ribosomal RNA", at positions 524 to 776 of the family's 1533-position model. The record is from RNAcentral.